CCUACGGGUGGCAGCAGUGAGGAAUAUUGGUCAAUGGACGCAAGGCUGAACCAGCCAUGCCGCGUGCAGGAAGACGGCCCUAUGAGUUGUAAACUGCUUUUGUACGAGGGUAAACGCACAUACGCGUAUCUGUCUGAAAGUAUCGUACGAAUAAGGAUCGGCUAACUCCGUGCCAGCAGCCGCGGUAAUACGGAGGAUUCAAGCGUUAUCCGGAUUUAUUGGGUUUAAAGGGUGCGUAGGCGGUUGGAUAAGUUAGAGGUGAAAUCCCGAGGCUCAACUUCGGAAUUGCCUCUGAUACUGUUCGUCGAGAGUGUAGUUGCGGUAGGCGGAAUGUAUGGUGUAGCGGUGAAAUGCUUAGAGAUCAUGCAGAACACCGAUUGCGAAGGCAGCUUACCAAGCUACUUCUGACGUUGAGGCACGAAAGCGUGGGGAGCAAACAGGAUUAGAUACCCGAGUAGUC
This 460-nucleotide ribosomal RNA is filed under the name uncultured bacterium. RNAcentral's name for it is "partial 16S ribosomal RNA". It matches the Rfam family "Bacterial small subunit ribosomal RNA", at positions 338 to 795 of the family's 1533-position model. The record is from RNAcentral.